Molecule: small nuclear RNA, 111 nt
Organism: Capra hircus (goat)
Lineage: Eukaryota; Metazoa; Chordata; Mammalia; Artiodactyla; Bovidae
Source: Ensembl
GUGUGUUUGCUGUGGUAGCACACAUAUUAAAAAAUGGGAAUAAUACUGAGAAGAUUAGCAUGGCCCCUGCCCAAGGAUGAUGCACAAAUUUGUGAAGUUUUCCAUAUUUUU